GAUAAACGCUGGCGGCGUGCCUAAAACAUGCAAGUCGAACGGGCCUGUGUCUUCGGACACAGGGUUAGUGGCGGACGGCUGAGUAACACGUGGGUGACCUGCCCUCGAGCGGGGGAUAACUGCCCGGAAAGGGUGGGCUAAUACCGCAGAUGUCGUGUGGUUACGAGUCAGACGACUGAACCGAUCCAGGGUUCGGGGAGGGCCCGCGGCCGAUUAGCUAGC
Molecule: ribosomal RNA, 222 nt
Filed under: uncultured bacterium
Lineage: Bacteria
Description: partial 16S ribosomal RNA
Rfam family: Bacterial small subunit ribosomal RNA
Source: RNAcentral